Molecule: unclassified non-coding RNA, 380 nt
Filed under: soil metagenome
Description: partial contains 5.8S ribosomal RNA, internal transcribed spacer 2, and large subunit ribosomal RNA
Rfam family: 5.8S ribosomal RNA (bases 1-120)
Source: RNAcentral
GAUGAAGAACGCAGCGAAAUGCGAUAAGUAAUGUGAAUUGCAGAAUUCAGUGAAUCAUCGAAUCUUUGAACGCACCUUGCACCCUUUGGCAUUCUGAAGGGUAUGCUCGUUUGAGUGUCAUUGUACUCUCACACUCCCGAUCUUUGCAUUGGGAGCAGUGGACUUGGGUUUGCUGCUUCACCGUCACUUACCUCAAAUAGGUUAGUGCAACUCUUGGUUGGACAUAGUACGGCGUGAUAAGUGUUCUUCGCCGGUGCCUCGCAAAGAGGGUGGCCGAUCGGGAUGUUGUGCUCCAAACCGUCUUCGGACAAUCUCUGACGACUUGACCUCAAAUCGAGUAAGACUACCCGCUGAACUUAAGCAUAUCAAUAAGCGGAGGA